This 125-nucleotide ribosomal RNA is filed under the name Acidobacteriota bacterium. RNAcentral's name for it is "Acidobacteria bacterium (anaerobic digester metagenome) partial 16S ribosomal RNA". It matches the Rfam family "Bacterial small subunit ribosomal RNA", at positions 1 to 122 of the family's 1533-position model. The record is from RNAcentral. Lineage: Bacteria; Pseudomonadati; Acidobacteriota.
AUAAUUGGAGAGUUUGAUCCUGGCUCAGAAUCAACGCUGGCGGCGUGCCUAACACAUGCAAGUCGAACGAGAAAGUGGGGCUUGCUCCACGAGUAAAGUGGCAAACGGGUGAGUAACACGUGAAC